Molecule: long non-coding RNA, 1217 nt
Filed under: Castor canadensis (American beaver)
Lineage: Eukaryota; Metazoa; Chordata; Mammalia; Rodentia; Castoridae
Description: lncRNA (ENSCCNG00000005875.1)
Source: RNAcentral
GAAAGGUUCUCAGGGGGUAGGGCGGGGACCUAGGCCUUCGCCUCGGCGGCAGAGGAGACUCGGGGGCCAUUUUGUGGAGAGACGAACACUGAACGGUUGUGUCCGUGUUGUCGCCCUCGAGCAACAGCUUCUCUGCGUAGAACCUGGGAGUUGGAGAUUCAGGAUCGAAUCUCUGCUCCCUCCCCCCUCCUGGUCACAAAUCGUUCGAAAUUCUUAAGUUAGUGGAACUGUGCUUGAGGUAGGUAUUCACCGUCCUUCGCAGUCGGAAACGUGCGGUCUAGGAGUGUUGGCUGCCAGAAUCACAUUAAGUCAACAGCGGAACUUGUAACGAAUUUGACCAGUCGGUCGGGCACGUAGUUCUAGGUAGUUAUUCCAGUGCUAGGUACUAAACAGACUGCUUAAAGUGUGUAGGAGAACCCAGUUGGAGAAACCUCGAGGGAACUGGACUUGGGACAAUAUUUAUUGAACGCCUUAGGAAGAUAGUCUAUACUGGACUUGGGAAAAGUACUUAAUUACAAGACUUGAACUUAUUAUUAAUGUGAUUUGUAAGACGACAAAAUUUGAAAUUAAUCCCAUCCAUCUAAACCUUUGCAGAAAUGCAGUUAUAUUUUAAAUUGGGACUGGAGGGGUAGCACAGUGGUAGAGCCCAGGCUUAGCAUGCAGGAGGCUACCUUGGGUCCAAUUCCUAGCCAGAAAAUAAUUUUAAAAAUUAGGUAAGCCUUUAUCUUUAAGUAAUUAAUAUUCACGUAUCUGGGAAAUUACCUUCUCGUUUUUUUUUUUAACCUGUGCAUAAGGUUGGUUGAAUUUAUUUUUAAAAAAGCUACUAAUAGAGUUUAAACCAAUUGUGUUCAAAAUUUAUUCCUUAAACUUUAAGAAAUUAAGAUAGAGAUCAAAAUUGUUAACGCUUUUUUUGAUGUUGGGGAUCAAGGUCAGGGCACUAUGCCUGCUGGGAACGUGAUCUGCAGUUGAGUCAUAUCCCUAAACCCAUGCUUGGUUUAGCGGUGCAGGGGACCUGUCUUACUGCCCCAUACAUGAUAGGUAGGUGCUCCACCACUGAAGUACACUCACAGCAAACCAUUUAAAUUUAAACUGUAAUCAUCUAUAUUGCACUUGGGCUUAAAACCAGUUUAUUGCUCUGACGAAUGAUCAGGGCUGAGGUAAGGCCUACCUGAUUAAUUAGAAAAUUGUCUGUUGAAAAACAUUGUUGUAAAUAAUGU